Molecule: ribosomal RNA, 721 nt
Filed under: uncultured bacterium
Lineage: Bacteria
Description: bacterial SSU rRNA
Rfam family: Bacterial small subunit ribosomal RNA
Source: RNAcentral
UAACACGUAAACAACCUGCCUUCAGGAUGGGGACAACAGACGGAAACGACUGCUAAUACCGAAUAAGUUCCAAGAGCCGCAUGGCCCAUGGAAGAAAAGGUGGCCUCUACCUGUAAGCUAUCGCCUGAAGAGGGGUUUGCGUCUGAUAGCUGGUUGGAGGGGUAACGGCCCACCAAGGCGACGAUCAGUAGCCGGUCUGAGAGGAUGAACGGCCACACUGGAACUGAGACACGGUCCAGACUCCUACGGGAGGCAGCAGUGGGGAAUCUUCCGCAAUGGGCGAAAGCCUGACGGAGCAACGCCGCGUGAGUGAUGACGGCCUUCGGGUUGUAAAACUCUGUGAUCCGGGACGAAAAGGCAGAGUGCGAAGAACAAACUGCAUUGACGGUACCGGAAAAGCAAGCCACGGCUAACUACGUGCCAGCAGCCGCGGUAAUACGUAGGUGGCAAGCGUUGUCCGGAAUUAUUGGGCGUAAAGCGCGCGCAGGCGGCUUCCCAAGUCCCUCUUAAAAGUGCGGGGCUUAACCCCGUGAUGGGAAGGAAACUGGGAAGCUGGAGUAUCGGAGAGGAAAGUGGAAUUCCUAGUGUAGCGGUGAAAUGCGUAGAGAUUAGGAAGAACACCGGUGGCGAAGGCGACUUUCUGGACGAAAACUGACGCUGAGGCGCGAAAGCGUGGGGAGCAAACAGGAUUAGAUACCCUGGUAGUCCACGCCGUAAACGA